This 804-nucleotide ribosomal RNA is filed under the name uncultured Gammaproteobacteria bacterium. RNAcentral's name for it is "bacterial SSU rRNA". It matches the Rfam family "Bacterial small subunit ribosomal RNA", at positions 55 to 857 of the family's 1533-position model. The record is from RNAcentral. Lineage: Bacteria; Pseudomonadati; Pseudomonadota; Gammaproteobacteria.
AUGCAAGUCGAACGGAAACUGUCUAGCUUGCUAGAUGAUGUCGAGUGGCGGACGGGUGAGUAAUGCUUGGGAACUUGCCUUUGCGAGGGGGAUAGCAGUUGGAAACGACUGCUAAUACCGCAUAAUGUCUUCGGACCAAACGGGGCUUCGGCUCCGGCGCAAAGAGAGGCCCAAGUGAGAUUAGCUAGUUGGUGAGGUAAAGGCUCACCAAGGCAACGAUCUCUAGCUGUUCUGAGAGGAAGAUCAGCCACACUGGGACUGAGACACGGCCCAGACUCCUACGGGAGGCAGCAGUGGGGAAUAUUGCACAAUGGGGGAAACCCUGAUGCAGCCAUGCCGCGUGUGUGAAGAAGGCCUUCGGGUUGUAAAGCACUUUCAGUUGUGAGGAAAAGUUAGUAGUUAAUACCUGCUAGCCGCGACGUUAACAACAGAAGAAGCACCGGCUAACUCCGUGCCAGCAGCCGCGGUAAUACGGAGGGUGCGAGCGUUAAUCGGAAUUACUGGGCGUAAAGCGCACGCAGGCGGUUUGUUAAGCUAGAUGUGAAAGCCCCGGGCUCAACCUGGGACGGUCAUUUAGAACUGGCAGACUAGAGUCUUGGAGAGGGGAGUGGAAUUCCAGGUGUAGCGGUGAAAUGCGUAGAUAUCUGGAGGAACAUCAGUGGCGAAGGCGACUCCCUGGCCAAAGACUGACGCCCAUGUGCGAAAGUGGGGGUAGCGAACAGGAUUAGAUACCCUGGUAGUCCACACCGUAAACGCUGUCUACUAGCUGUUUGUGGCUUUAAGCCGUGAGUAGCGAAGCUAACG